AUUGAACGCUGGCGGCAGGCCUAACACAUGCAAGUCGAGCGGAGCGGCGGACGGGUGAGUAAUGCCUAGGAAUCUGCCUGGUAGUGGGGGAUAACGUCCGGAAACGGGCGAUAAUACCGCAUACUAUCAGAUGAGCCUAGGGCGGAUUAGCUCUUUGGGGGGGUAAAGUCCUACCAAGUCGACGAUCCGUAACUGGUCUGAGAGGAUGAUCAGUCACGUUGGAACUGAGACACGGUCCAGACUCCUACGGGAGUCAGCAGUGGGUAAGUUUGGACAAUGGGCGAAAGCCUGAUCCAGCCAUGCCGCGUGGGUGAAGAAGGUCUUCGGAUUGUAAAGCACUUUAAGUUGGGAGGCGUUACCAACAGAAUAAGCACCGGCUAACUUCGUGCCAGCAGCCGCGGUAAUUC
Molecule: ribosomal RNA, 407 nt
Filed under: uncultured bacterium
Lineage: Bacteria
Description: partial 16S ribosomal RNA
Rfam family: Bacterial small subunit ribosomal RNA
Source: RNAcentral